UACGUAGGUGACAAGCGUUGUCCGGAUUUACUGGGCGUAAAGCGCACGCAGGCGGUCUGCUAAGUUUGGAGUGACAGUUGGUGGCUUAACUGCCAAAGUGCUUCGAAAACUGACAGACUUGAGGGCUUCAGAGGGACACGGAAUUCCGGGUGGAGUGGUGAAAUGCGUAGAGAUCCGGAGGAACACCAAAGGCGAAGGCAGUGUCCUGGGGAGUACCUGACGCUCAGGUGCGAAAGCCAGGGGAGCGAACGGG
Molecule: ribosomal RNA, 253 nt
Filed under: uncultured bacterium
Lineage: Bacteria
Description: partial 16S ribosomal RNA
Rfam family: Bacterial small subunit ribosomal RNA
Source: RNAcentral